This 76-nucleotide transfer RNA is filed under the name Xanthomonas oryzae pv. oryzae. RNAcentral's name for it is "tRNA-Gly". It matches the Rfam family "tRNA". Rfam says of the family: Transfer RNA (tRNA) molecules are approximately 80 nucleotides in length. Their secondary structure includes four short double-helical elements and three loops (D, anti-codon, and T loops). The record is from RNAcentral. Lineage: Bacteria; Pseudomonadati; Pseudomonadota; Gammaproteobacteria; Lysobacterales; Lysobacteraceae.
GCGGGAAUAGCUCAGUUGGUAGAGCGCAACCUUGCCAGGGUUGAGGUCGCGAGUUCGAGUCUCGUUUCCCGCUCCA